RNAcentral lists this long non-coding RNA (1125 nucleotides) under Salmo salar (Atlantic salmon). RNAcentral's name for it is "lncRNA (ENSSSAG00000081155.2)". The record is from RNAcentral. Lineage: Eukaryota; Metazoa; Chordata; Actinopteri; Salmoniformes; Salmonidae.
CUCGUUCAACAAAGGAGAAGAGAAUAAACAUCAGGAUAACCUUUACACAAACAGAACUAAAGCCUUUGGGUCUGAGAUGAGUUCUGGGAAUAUCUCUAUCAAACUCAGCCAAGUAACACUUGAAGACAAGCAGAACGUCUACUGGGCUUUCGCGUUUGAUGGGAAUGAUAAGCCUAUCCCCAAGUUGAUAAAAUGGUGUCCCACUACCCUACAUGUGGCAGCACGGUUCCCAACACCCAGUGUGACUGUGAACAAGACAAAUAUGAAUACCGCAGACCCUUCAGGUGAAGUUCAGAAAGGCUUUACUCCUGCCAUUAUUGGAGGCAUUAUAACAAUAUUUAUUGUGAUUUGCCUCGGGCGGAUAUUUAUUGUGUACAAAAAAUGUUGUGGAGACAGAGGUGGUGCCACGGGAGCCAGCAGUGGUGCUACAGGGCCAACAGAUUUUCCACAGGAGCCAGAGGUGGUGCUACAGGAGCCAGAGGUGGUGCUACAGGUGCCAGAGCUGGUGCUACAGGAGACAGAGGUGGUGCAACAGGAGACAGCGGUGGUGCUACAGGAGGUGAUGAAGAGCAGAGCAUUCUAAUGGGUCUCACAACAAGCCAGCCUCGGGGCAAUAGUAGUGUAGAUCAAGUUGAUUUAGCCACAGUUAGCAACGCUAACGGUGCUGCAGCAAAAAAACACAGCUGAUUGUGUAACAAAACCAUUGCAUGAAAUUGUAAACAUUUAUUUAUUCAUUUUAUUUAACCAGGAAGGGCUCAUUGAGAUUUAAAAUCUCUUUUUGAAAAGCGUCCUGGCCAAGAUAGGCAGCGUCAAGUCAUUACAAAAAUUACAGACAAACAACAUGAAAAACUACAAGUAAUCUAGUAAAAACCAUAGAAUUAACAAAGAAUAUAACAAAAUCAAAAACAGCAAAUUAGAAACAUUGACAUGUCAGGGAAUCAGUCUCAAGAUCAUUCAUCAGGGUUUUAAAAAUACCAAUCGGGACAAGUUCUUCCAGUUUAAAAGUAUUUUGUAAGGCGUUCCAAGCCGAUGGUGCAGAGUACAUAAAAGCCCUUUAACCAAAUUCAGUUCGGACAUUUGGAACAGUUAGCAGGAUAAAGUCCCGCGAACGAAGAGAGUACCCAC